GGGCUGAGGGAGGAAGCUGGCUUCCUGAAGCCUUCUCAGCCCUCAAACAGACAGACAGACAGCUGGCAGGAGGCAGCCUGGGGGGACACAGCCACUCCAUUACAGAGGCAAGAGUUGGGGAAGGACAGGAAGAGGAAAGAAUCACCCCCUCAGUCUUCCUCACUGCACAGAGACCCCAGAGAUGAAGUUGGGAAGGAGCAUUGCCCAUGGUUAAAGGGGGCCCGAGUGGACGGACGCUCACUCACUGAGACAGAUGAGCCCUGGAUCCCCCUCUGAUCCCAGCACUGAGAUAUGCCUGAUGGUUACCGUGGCUGAGUGAGCCUGCUCUGGGCCCUUGCCUUGGCCCCCUGAGCCCCAGCCCAGCAUGGUCCAGGCCUGGGAGGAGUGUUCCCGAGCUCAGCAGACAGCUCUGCCACAAGGGGCAAGCAUGGCCCAGCCUCCUGCCCCAGGCUCUACCGCCAAGAAGCACAUCAGACUGCAGGAGAGGUGAGACCUGGUGGGCUUCACCAGGAGACGGGGGUCUCUUAUU
Molecule: long non-coding RNA, 529 nt
Filed under: Sarcophilus harrisii (Tasmanian devil)
Lineage: Eukaryota; Metazoa; Chordata; Mammalia; Dasyuromorphia; Dasyuridae
Description: lncRNA (ENSSHAG00000020817.1)
Source: RNAcentral